Molecule: long non-coding RNA, 1544 nt
Organism: Vigna radiata var. radiata (mung bean)
Lineage: Eukaryota; Viridiplantae; Streptophyta; Magnoliopsida; Fabales; Fabaceae
Exons: 2
Source: RefSeq, a predicted model, not a curated record
GAAACACUAGGGGUUCUGCCCUUUCCUCCCAUUCUCACUUAUUCAAAAAAGGAAAGAGACCUAGGGUCUCUCCUCUCCCUCUGCUGACGACACCAUCAGCCACGAGGCGCCCUCGUCGGCUACUCCCCACCUCGCCGGAGUCGUUGCCACUCACGAAUCGCCGGCAGUUUCUCCCUGAAGUCACCGCCAGCGACAACGCCGUCACUUCCCUACACCAUCCAAGAGCGCCGUCGCAGAACACCAUCCUCGUCCUCGUUCAUUCUGAGACCUAGGGUCUCCUUCUCUGCGCAAGAGCACCCCGAGAAGCCACCUUCGUCACUCAACGUCCACGACUCAGCCUCCGCCUUCUCUCUCCCUCCGUCGGCGAAACCCAAAGCCACCACCGUUCAACGUCGUCGUUGUCCUCGCCGGCGCCGCCAGCACCGCUCCCCUUCUUCCUCAGUUCGAGAGUUUCCUUUCUCUUCCUCUCUUGUUUUUUGAACGCCACAUGUUGAUUGAUUCUUGAUUCCUCGGUUGAUUGGUGUUUCGUUCACUGGGAUUGGAAAUGGCGGGAUUGGAAACGGUGGAAAACGACCUCGAGGUUAAGGCCAAACUGUUAUCCAGAUUGAGGGAAACCUUCGCUUCUGUUUUUUGCUUAUUACAAUUUUCUAGCAUGUUUUCUAACUGUACGCAAAUGGAUAUUAAAAUCUGAUACUGGGGAAUAUACACCUAUUUCCUGUUGUCGUUUAUAACUGAUGAAUCUUGUUUGCAUGGAAAUUGUAUUUUGGGUGCAGUUUUUGAUUGACAGAGGAUAUCGCAAAGUAAACGAACAACCAUAUACCAUAUACACGCAUAUUUCAUUCAUGUUCCAGACAUGUAACAGAGAUAUAUAACAGGGGCAUGUGACAAAGCAGCAAACAUUCACAUACAACCAAGGGCCGGGAAAGACAACUUACCUUCACCGCUUUCAAAGAAAAAUGGGAAAGGUAAAUGGUUCUCCUCUGGCCGUGAGACCCUUUAGUGAUGAUCGGUGAUGGUGGCGCGCGAUCUUCUCCUCUCUUUUUCAGGUGUUGGCUUCUCGUUUUCUUCCUCUGCUCAUGAAAUGGUGGAUGCCAUCACAAAGACUGAGACUGAAUGAUGAUUGAAGAUGAAGGUCCAAAGAGGUUGCCUUUCUUCUUUGUAUGCAAAAUGAGGGUUCUCCUUCUCAUGAUAUUAGCCCCUGUUGUCUUCUUGUGUUCUCUCUUCAGUGAAUGGAGUUGAGAGUGAGCAAUGAAAGUGGAUGACUCGUUAAUGGUAGAGGUGAAUGAUGUUCAAGGUCUCCCCUAGAGCGUGGUCCUCAGACCUCUCCUCUCUGCCCCUCCUGUUGUAUCUUUCUUAGAAAACCAAUUUUCAAGAAGGCUCCCCUUCUCUGCUCUGGGAUUUCAUGCUUGUCUUUUUCCUUUUCUUGUUUAUUCAUUGCAUCAGUUGACAAAUGAAACAUUCAAAAUCUUCCUUCUUUGAUGAAUGUAUGCAGUUCACAGUUCAACCUAAGAAAAAUUUGGAAUAGGAACCAGGUCCUUUCUCGC